RNAcentral lists this transfer RNA (74 nucleotides) under Pseudaminobacter soli (ex Li et al. 2025). RNAcentral's name for it is "tRNA-Cys". It matches the Rfam family "tRNA". Rfam says of the family: Transfer RNA (tRNA) molecules are approximately 80 nucleotides in length. Their secondary structure includes four short double-helical elements and three loops (D, anti-codon, and T loops). Further hydrogen bonds mediate the characteristic L-shaped molecular structure. tRNAs have two regions of fundamental functional importance: the anti-codon, which is responsible for specific mRNA codon recognition, and the 3' end, to which the tRNAs corresponding amino acid is attached (by aminoacyl-tRNA synthetases). tRNAs cope with the degeneracy of the genetic code in two manners: having more than one tRNA (with a specific anti-codon) for a particular amino acid; and 'wobble' base-pairing, i.e. permitting non-standard base-pairing at the 3rd anti-codon position. Lineage: Bacteria; Pseudomonadati; Pseudomonadota; Alphaproteobacteria; Hyphomicrobiales; Phyllobacteriaceae. The record is from RNAcentral.
GGCCGGAUAGCGGAGUGGUGACGCAACGGACUGCAAAUCCGUUUAGCCUGGUUCAAUCCCAGGUCCGGCUUCCA